RNAcentral lists this ribosomal RNA (697 nucleotides) under Pilaira moreaui. RNAcentral's name for it is "eukaryotic LSU rRNA". It matches the Rfam family "Eukaryotic large subunit ribosomal RNA", at positions 50 to 648 of the family's 3401-position model. Lineage: Eukaryota; Fungi; Mucoromycota; Mucoromycetes; Mucorales; Mucoraceae. The record is from RNAcentral.
GCGGAGGAAAAGAAAAUAACAAUGAUUUCCCUAGUAACGGCGAGUGAAGAGGAAAGAGCUCAAAGUUGGAACCUGUUUGGCUUAGCUAAACCGGAUUGUAAACUGUAGAAGUGUUUUCCUGACACGCCUGGUAAAAAAGUCCUUUGGAACAGGGCAUCAUAGAGGGUGAGAAUCCCGUGUUUGGCCAGAGCUGUUGUCUUUUGUGAUACAUUUUCAAAGAGUCAGGUUGUUUGGGAAUGCAGCCUAAAUUGGGUGGUAAAUCUCACCUAAAGCUAAAUAUUUGCGAGAGACCGAUAGCGAACAAGUACCGUGAGGGAAAGAUGAAAAGAACUUUGAAAAGAGAGUUAAACAGUAUGUGAAAUUGUUAAAAGGGAACCGUUUGGAGCCAGACUGGCUUGACUGUAAUCAAUCUAGGCUUCGGCCUGGAUGCACUUGCGGUUUAUGCCUGCCAACGACAAUUUUUUUUGAGGGAAAAAACUAUUAGGAAUGUGGCCCCUCUCGGGGGGUGUUAUAGCCUUUUAGAAAAUACCUUGAAUUGGAUUGAGGAACGCAGUGAAUGCCUUUAGGCAAGAUUGCUGGGUGCUUUCGUUAAUAAAUGCUAGAAUUUCUGCUUCGGGUGGUGUUAGUGUUUAAAGAUGGAACUCGCCUAGUAUAUUUUUUAUUCGCUUAGGUUGUUGGCUUAAUGACUCUAAAUGAC